CCUACGGGUGGCAGCAGUGAGGAAUAUUGGUCAAUGGCCGGAAGGCUGAACCAGCCAUGCCGCGUGAAGGUCAGUGCCCUAUGGGCGUUAAACUUCUUUUGUGCGGGAGCAAUAAUGGUCACGUGUGGCCAGACGAGAGUACCGUACGAAUAAGCAUCGGCUAACUCCGUGCCAGCAGCCGCGGUAAUACUGGGGAUGCAAUCGUUAUCCGGAGUCAUUGGGUUUAAAGGGUGCGUAGGCUGGGAGGUAAGUCAGCGGUGAAAUGCCCCCGCUCAACGGGGUGAAGUGCCAUUGAUACUGCCGUGCUGGAAUGCGGAUGCCGUGGGAGGAAGGUGUGGUGUAGCGGUGAAAUGCAUAGAUAUCACACAGAACACCGAUUGCGAAGGUAUCUCACGAAUCCGCGAUUGACGCUGAUGCACGAAAGCGUGGGUAUCAAACAGGAUUAGAUACCCGAGUAGUC
This 460-nucleotide ribosomal RNA is filed under the name uncultured bacterium. RNAcentral describes it as "partial 16S ribosomal RNA". It matches the Rfam family "Bacterial small subunit ribosomal RNA", at positions 338 to 795 of the family's 1533-position model. The record is from RNAcentral.